RNAcentral lists this ribosomal RNA (324 nucleotides) under uncultured eukaryote. RNAcentral describes it as "partial 18S ribosomal RNA". It matches the Rfam family "Eukaryotic small subunit ribosomal RNA", at positions 1470 to 1796 of the family's 1831-position model. The record is from RNAcentral.
CCCUUAGAUGUCCUGGGCUGCACGCGCGCUACACUGAUGUGUCCAGUAAGCACCUAACCUCUUCCGAAAGGAACGGGUAACCUUUGCAAAGCACAUCGUGAUGGGGAUAGAUUAUUGCAAUUAUUAGUCUUGAACGAGGAAUUCCUAGUAAGCACAAGUCAUCAGCUUGUGUUGAUUACGUCCAUGCCCUUUGUACACACCGCCCGUCGCUCCUACCGAUUGAAUGUUCCGGUGAGCUCUUCGGACUGCGCGGUCUGCAGUUUCUGCGUUCCGUGCGGAAAGUUGCGCAAACCUUAACAUUUAGAGGAAGGAGAAGUCGUAACA